CCCAAUGUCCCUGUGUCCCCUCAAUAUCCCCCAUGUCCCCCCCAAUGUCCCUCCAUGUCCCCACAAUGUCCCCAAUGUCCCUGAUGUCCCUGUGCCCCUCGGAUGUCCCCAGUCCCCCAAUGACGUCCCCAAUGUCCCCAGUGUCCCCGUGUCCCCCCGAUGUCCCCGGUGUCACUCACAAUUUGUCACUGCAGGUCAGCAUGGCCUCGGCCACCGGCAGCGGCAGCGUCACCGCCGCCCCCGCCACGAAGGACAGGAUGCGCCCGGCGACGCUGAACGGCUCUGGGGACACAGGGCACAAUGGGGACAAUGAGGGGACAGCCUUGGGACACCCCCAGGACACCCCCGGGGGACGCUGAACGGCUCUGGGGACAAUGGGGACAAUGAGGGGACAGCUGGGGACACCCCCAGGACAGCCCAAAACCCCGGGGACAGCCAAGGGACACCACGGGGACUCCCGGGACACAUCAGUGUCCCCAGAGGUGACACAGAAGGUGACAGACACGCCCCCCCCCCCCCCCCCCAGUGCCUCCAGGUGUGCCCAGGUGCCCCCAGAUGCCCCCCAGGUGUCCCCAUGCCCCCCAGGUGUGCCCAGGUGUAUCACAGGUGUGCCCAGGUGUGCCCAUGCCCCCCAGGUGUGCCCAGGUGUGCCCAGGUGUGCCCGCACCGCUGGCCGGGGGCUCGCUGCGGGCGAACAGCUCCCGCCAGGGCGGGUCCAGGAAGGCGGAGCCGUAGCGGCCAUCGAGGGUGCCCAGGUGCUGCGCCACGGGGUGGGGACCUGGGGACAGGACGGGUGGGCACGGGUGGGCACAGAGAACACCCAGGUGAGCCCCAGGUGUGCCCAGAGACCCUCCCAGGUGUGUGCUGGUACCUCCAGGUGUGCCCAGGUGUGCUCCAGGUACCUCCAGGUGUGCCCAGAGACUGCCCAGGUGUGCCCAGGUGGACACAAAGACCCUCCCAGGUGGGCACAGAGACCCUCCAGGUGGACACAAAGACCCCCCAGGUGUGCCCAGAGACCCCCAGUUGUGCCCAGGUGUGCUCCAGGUAACUCCAGGUGGGCACAGAUGCCCCCCCAGGUGUGUCCCAAUGUCCCCAGGUGUCUCCCAGGUGUGUCCCCAAAUUGUGCCCAGGUGUGUCACCCAUACCCCCAGGUGU
This 1155-nucleotide long non-coding RNA is filed under the name Junco hyemalis (dark-eyed junco). Its description in RNAcentral is "lncRNA (ENSJHYG00000002685.1)". The record is from RNAcentral. Lineage: Eukaryota; Metazoa; Chordata; Aves; Passeriformes; Passerellidae.